Molecule: ribosomal RNA, 465 nt
Filed under: uncultured bacterium
Lineage: Bacteria
Description: partial 16S ribosomal RNA
Rfam family: Bacterial small subunit ribosomal RNA
Source: RNAcentral
GAUGAACGCUGGCGGCGUGCCUAACACAUGCAAGUCGAGCGAACCCUUCGGGGUGAGCGGCGGACGGGUGAGUAACGCGUGGGUAACCUGCCCUGUACACACGGAUAACAUACCGAAAGGUAUGCUAAUACGAGGUAAUAUAUUUUAAUCGCAUGGUUAAGAUAUCAAAGCUCCGGCGGUACAGGAUGGACCCGCGUCUGAUUAGCUAGUUGGUGAGGUAAUGGCUCACCAAGGCGACGAUCAGUAGCCGACCUGAGAGGGUGAUCGGCCACACUGGAACUGAGACACGGUCCAGACUCCUACGGGAGGCAGCAGUGGGAAUAUUGCACAAUGGGCGAAAGCCUGAUGCAGCAACGCCGCGUGAGCGAUGAAGGCCUUCGGGUCGUAAAGCUCUGUCCUCAAGGAAGAUAAUGACGGUACUUGAGGAGGAAGCCCCGGCUAACUACGUGCCAGCCGCCGCCGUAA